GUGGCUAAUCCCUUUUAUAAUAAGAAGACAAACGCCGGCUCUGGUUGUCGUCUGUGCUUUGAACAAUCAGAAAGUGGGAUCUCAUUUUUCCUGUGUUCAAUGACUUUCAGAAAAGCUCCCAGAUAACUCCACUUAAGCUUAGCAUCUGAGAUCCAGAUGGAAUUUCACAUCAGAGACCCCAGAGACAAAGGAUAGAUGUUCUGCCCCUGCCUUUGUAAAAUAAAAGAAGACUUAAACCUAUUUAGGUCCUGGUGUAGACAAGAAUGUAGACAAAUCUCCAGGUCCCCAGAGAUCACAAACGUCCCAGGAGAGCACCAUGCACACAAGGCAGCUCCAAAUACAGAGGAAGAAAACAGACAAGACACUUGGCCACCUUUGUAAAAGUGGUGGCCAACCAAAGACAGCACUCUUUGCUUCCAGUCUGCCAGUGGAAUGGAGGGCCAGGAACACCUGUUAGAGCUGCAGUUUCACUUCUCUAGGCACUGUUAAACCAUGGGUGCUUGUACAUCAUGAACCCAUUAACUCUCUGUUAUCUCCUUAUAUGCAGUUGUGCUUGUGGGUUCUGUGUUGUGCUGGGCAGUGCUUCAGAGCUGUUUCAUUCAGCUACUUUUGCCCUGCCAAUGAAAAGAAAUAGAGCCAUUUUCCUGUAGUUCAGUUCAUUCAGAGGCAUUAUUCCAAUUCAGCAAAGAGCUGAAAAUGAGUGUGAAGAGUGAAAACGUGUAAGUUAUCUGUACUGACAAAAUCUGAAGUAGUCUAAUUUUUUUCCCCAAGCAGAAAAAUCCUAUAUCAGAUAUAUUAACCCAAAACUGAAUAAAGCUGAAUAAAAUUAAAAACUUGAUUUAAAAUUGCUAGGGUGCAUCUGUGAAAAAAAACAUGUGGAUUUUUGUAGUAAAUACUUAUUUUUAAUUUUGACAUAGAACAGAUCUCAACAUAAUGUAGUAAAGAGGAUAUUCUCAUCAAAAUUUAAGAAUUCCAAUCUUUUCAGUUUCUUAGUUGCUUAGCAGAGCAACUUUGAGUUCAAAGCUCUCUUUCAGAUUGGUCAAAAUAUGAAGAUUAUCCAAUCUCUUGGUAACCCCUUCAUCUCUCUUCUCACAGCUGAAUUUGGUUUCUUUCCCUCCUACUUCCACAGAAGACUGUACUUCUCACCAAAGACUGUAGUUAAUGUUGUUUACAGCAGAAACAAUGAAAAGUUAGAAAGACUAUUUUUAUUAUGUGUAUUCUUUUUUCACUCUAUCACUGCCACCUGAUCUGCAGACUGAGGCAAAUCCCUUGUGCUCCAUAGCUUUAUUCUGUAAGAAAAUACAAGUAGAAAAGUAUGCUCUAUUUUCUGGUGGAUAUUGUGUUGCCGCAUACUGAGUGUUUUUAUCUUGAGAUGUAUAAAUCCACUCUGAGAGUUAAGACAAAUGAUACAAAGCCAAAAAGCUCUAUUAGGCCUCAUAAUUAAUGUACAAGGAUGUGGACAGAUAUUUGAAACAAUCAAAUGAAAGGAUUUCAUCUUCCAGUUAAAGGCAGUUGUGAAAAUUCAUGUCUAGAAGGCUGUUGACAGAAUAGUGUUAAUGGCUGUUGGUGAACCAGAAAAAGAAAGCGUGUGCAAUCCAGGCAGGGAGCCUUGUAGAAGCAAAAUCCUAGACAGAUGGCAAAAAUUCAGUCCUGGAGCUUGAAGGAAGAUGGAAGAUUUUUUUGUUUGUUUGUUUGGUGUUUUUGUUUGUUUGUUUGUUUGUUUGUUGG
Molecule: long non-coding RNA, 1728 nt
Organism: Oenanthe melanoleuca
Lineage: Eukaryota; Metazoa; Chordata; Aves; Passeriformes; Muscicapidae
Exons: 3
Source: RefSeq, a predicted model, not a curated record